GAUGAACGCUGGCGGCGUGCCUAAUACAUGCCAUUCGAGCGAACAGACGAGGAGCUUGCUCCUCUGACGUUAGCGGCGGACGGGUGAGUAACACGUGGAUAACCUACCUAUAAGACUGGGAUAACUUCGGGAAACCGGAGCUAAUACCGGAUAAUAUAUUGAACCGCAUGGUUCAAUAGUGAAAGACGGUUUUGCUGUCACUUAUAGAUGGAUCCGCGCCGCAUUAGCUAGUUGGUAAGGUAACGGCUUACCAAGGCAACGAUGCGUAGCCGACCUGAGAGGGUGAUCGGCCACACUGGAACUGAGACACGGUCCAGACUCCUACGGGAGGCAGCAGUAGGGAAUCUUCCGCAAUGGGCGAAAGCCUGACGGAGCAACGCCGCGUGAGUGAUGAAGGUCUUCGGAUCGUAAAACUCUGUUAUUAGGGAAGAACAAAUGUGUAAGUAACUAUGCACGUCUUGACGGUACCUAAUCAGAAAGCCACGGCUAACUACGUG
Molecule: ribosomal RNA, 497 nt
Filed under: uncultured bacterium
Lineage: Bacteria
Description: partial 16S ribosomal RNA
Rfam family: Bacterial small subunit ribosomal RNA
Source: RNAcentral